GACGAACGCUGGCGGCGUGCCUAAUACAUGCAAGUAGAACGCUGAAGGAAGGAGCUUGCUCUUUCUGGAUGAGUUGCGAACGGGUGAGUAACGCGUAGGUAACCUGCCUGGUAGCGGGGGAUAACUAUUGGAAACGAUGGCUAAUACCGCAUAAAAUUGAUUAUUGCAUGAUAGUCAAUUAAAAGGUGCAACUGCACCACUACCAGAUGGACCUGCGUUGUCUUAGCUAGGUGGUGGGGUAACGGCUCACCAAGGCGACGAUACAUAGCCGACCUGAGAGGGUGAUCGGCCACACUGGGACUGAGACACGGCCCAGACUCCUACGGGAGGCAGCAGUAGGGAAUCUUCGGCAAUGGACGGAAGGCUGACCGAGCAACGCCGCGUGAGUGAAGAAGGUUUUCGGAUCGUAAAGCUCUGUUGUAAGGGAAGAACGAGUGUGAAAGUGGAAAGUUCACACUGUGACGGUAUCUUACCAGAAAGGGACGGCUAACUACGUG
This 497-nucleotide ribosomal RNA is filed under the name uncultured bacterium. RNAcentral's name for it is "partial 16S ribosomal RNA". It matches the Rfam family "Bacterial small subunit ribosomal RNA", at positions 28 to 507 of the family's 1533-position model. The record is from RNAcentral.